UACGGGGGGAGCAAGCGUUGUUCGGAUUUACUGGGCGUAAAGGGCGCGUAGGCAGUAGCACAAGUCAGUUGUGAAAUCUCCGGGCUUAACUCGGAAAGGUCAACUGAUACUGUGCGACUAGAGUGCAGAAGGGGCAACUGGAAUUCUCGGUGUAGCGGUGAAAUGCGUAGAUAUCGAGAGGAACACCUGCGGCGAAGGCGGGUUGCUGGGCUGACACUGACGCUGAGGCGCGAAAGCCAGGGGAGCGAACGGG
RNAcentral lists this ribosomal RNA (253 nucleotides) under uncultured bacterium. Its description in RNAcentral is "partial 16S ribosomal RNA". It matches the Rfam family "Bacterial small subunit ribosomal RNA", at positions 524 to 776 of the family's 1533-position model. The record is from RNAcentral.